GAUGAACGCUGGCGGCGUGCCUAAUACAUGCAAGUCGAGCGAACGGACGAGAAGCUUGCUUCUCUGAUGUUAGCGGCGGACGGGUGAGUAACACGUGGAUAACCUACCUAUAAGACUGGGAUAACUUCGGGAAACCGGAGCUAAUACCGGAUAAUAUUUUGAACCGCAUGGUUCAAAAGUGAAAGACGGUCUUGCUGUCACUUAUAGAUGGAUCCGCGCUGCAUUAGCUAGUUGGUAAGGUAACGGCUUACCAAGGCAACGAUGCAUAGCCGACCUGAGAGGGUGAUCGGCCACACUGGAACUGAGAGACGGUCCAGACUCCUACGGGAGGCAGCAGUAGGGAAUCUUCCGCAAUGGGCGAAAGCCUGACGGAGCAACGCCGCGUGAGUGAUGAAGGUCUUCGGAUCGUAAAACUCUGUUAUUGGGGAAGAACAGAUGUGUAAGUAACUGUGCACAUCUUGACGGUACCUAAUCAGAAAGCCACGGCUAACUACGUG
Molecule: ribosomal RNA, 497 nt
Filed under: uncultured bacterium
Lineage: Bacteria
Description: partial 16S ribosomal RNA
Rfam family: Bacterial small subunit ribosomal RNA
Source: RNAcentral